Molecule: ribosomal RNA, 320 nt
Filed under: uncultured eukaryote
Lineage: Eukaryota
Description: partial 18S ribosomal RNA
Rfam family: Eukaryotic small subunit ribosomal RNA
Source: RNAcentral
CCCCUAGAUGUUCUGGGCCGCACGCGCGCUACACUGAACAGUUCAACAAGUCUUAACCUUGGCCGAUAGGUCUGGGUAAUCUUUGAAAGCUGUUCGUGAUUGGGAUAGACCUUUGCAAUUAUGGGUCUUCAACGAGGAAUUCCUAGUAAACGCAAGUCAUCAGCUUGCAUUGAUUACGUCCCUGCCCUUUGUACACACCGCCCGUCGCACCUACCGAUUGAAUGGUCCGGUGAAAUCUCGGGACGGCGGCUUGGUCGCUUGCGUCCGACUGCUGAAACUUGAUUAAACCAUAUCAUUUAGAGGAAGGUGAAGUCGUAACA